GAAAAAGAAAAUAGAGAAGCCCUGUGAAGAGAUGCGUUCGGCGUCCGAGAGCUUCAAUGCUUCGACGGCGAAGGGCACCACAUAGUCCACCCAUCGAAGACCCAACGGCGGAGGAUAAGAGGGAACCGACGCUCGAAUCUUGCCGUUGUUACCGGCGGCAUCGCCACUACCCGGUAUGGCGAGAUUGCGCGGCGCUCCAUGGCUUUGAAAUCCGCAGUCAGGAAUUUGUUGUUAUUGACUUCCUUUCGUGGCAGUCAUCGUUUAGCUUGAAGCACUAAACCUCAGAAUGGUGAGAGCUCCGUCCUCUAUCAUAAGCUUCAUCCGCCAUAGCUCUCCUGGUGCUCGCCUAGACCCAGCUGGCCAACUGCGAAAUCUCACCACUGAGAGCAAAGACGGGGAUUGUGACGGGAGUUAUAAGGACGUCAUCCAUGAAAUUUGUUUGAUUACUCGAAGAAGGCCUAGGUGGGAGCAUACUCUCCUCUCCGAAUUCCCUUCUUUAAAUUUCUCCGAUCCCCGGCUUUUCCAUUCAUAUAUGAAGCAUCAGAAUAAUGCUUUUCUCUCCCUGCGUUUCUUUCACUGGCUUUGUUCUCACUGUGGUUUCUCGCCCGAUCAUUCAUCUUGCAAUGCCCUUUUUGACGUCCUUGUGGACGCUAAGGCCUGCAACGCAGCAAAAUCUUUACUUGACCGCGAUGGAUUUACUCCCGAGCCUUCAUCUUUGGAGUGUUACAUCCAAUGUCUUAGUCGUGGUGAAAUGGUUGAGGAGGCAGUUAGCGUGUUUUGUAAGUUGAAAAAUGCUGGAUUUUGCCCAUCCGUUGCAACUUGGAAUGUGUCUCUAUCUGCUUGUUUGAAGACAGGGAGGACUGAUUUAGUUUGGACACUGUAUGAACAGAUGAUGGCAUCCGAUGUUAUAGCAAACAUUGAUGCUGAAACUAUAGGUUAUCUAAUUCAAGCCUACUGCGAUGAUAACAAAGUUUCUAAUGGUUAUGGACUUCUUCGACAGAUUCUGGAAGAUGGGCUGUGCCCUGACAAUAUUGUUUUCAACACACUUAUAUCUGGGUUCUGUAAGGAGGAGGAGUAUGCCCGAGUAUCUGAACUUUUACACAUUAUGAUUGCAAAAGGGCAUGGUCCUGACAUCUUUACGUAUCAGGAAAUCAUAAAUGGACUAAUUAAGAGAAGCAAGAACAUGGAAGCAUUCAGGAUCUUUAAUGAUCUUAAGGACAGAGGGUACUUCCCUGACAGGGUCAUGUACACAACAAUAAUUAAAGGCCUUUGUGAUAUGGGAUUUCUUGGAGAGGCUAGGAAGCUGUGGUUUGAGAUGAUUCGAAAGGGACUUCUUCCAAAUGAAUACACCUAUAGUGUAAUGAUAAGUAGGUAUUGUCGACUUGGCAAGUUUGAUGCGGCCAGGAAACUCUACAAGGAGAUGUGUGAUAAAGGGUAUGAAAAAACCACAGUUCCCUGCAACGCAAUGAUUUCGGGCUUGUGUUUGCAUGGAAGGACGGAUGAAGCUCAGAGAUUGUUUGAAGAAAUGUCUCAGAAGGGCAUUGUUUGUGAUAUUAUCACAUACAACUCUCUAAUUCGAGCCCUUUUAAAGCAAGGGAAGCUAGUUGAGACUACAAAACUAUUUCGUGUACUCCUGGCACAGGGCCUUGAGCCAUCAGCUUCUACUUUUACCGCCCUAAUUAGACGACUUUGUGAAGUUGGAGACACCCAAGAGGCAAUAAGGUUGUGGAAAGAUAUGGUUUGCAGAAAUUGGGAACCCACGGUCAGUACAUAUGAUUAUAUUGUAACUGGAUUAUGUGAACAAGAAUGUUUUACAGAAGCUAUGGAAUGGUUGUUAGAGGUGCUGAAUAAAAAGCUGAAACCACGGAAGCAGACUUUUGAGACCCUGAUUCAAUGUUUGUUAAAGAAAAAUAAGUUAGAUGACGUCUUAUUUGUUUUAGAUCUAAUGCUUACAAUAGGAUAUAUGCUACAAGAAAACAUGAUAAAGUCUUUAGUGAGGAAAUUUGGCGAGAAAAACUUCAGUUUUGCUGAAACAUGUUUGGAGAGGAUUUUAGAAAGAAAUUGAUAGAUCUGGCUUUUUGUGUUGUUUGUAUUUUCCAUUAUUAUUAGAGACCAUGAAGAAGGAUGUAUAGGGGUUUCAAUAACAUAUGAGAAAUCAUAAUCAUCUUGAAACUUCCCAUGAUGCAAUUGUUUAGUUCAUCGUGAAGGAGUGGUUAAUUAUGAAGAUAAUCUGUUCCGGCUGGAAGGAGAAAUUGUUUUUGUGAUAAGAAUCAGUCCUCAUUAAAAAAUUUCAUCACCUUUUGUUAUUUCCUAUUGCUUUAAUUCUAUGUUCAAAAUGCUGUGCAGAACGCCAGAACCCUUGAUCUUAUAGAUAUCAUGAGUUAUUUUCUUUUUUUCCCUUUAAUAAAUCGCUUGCCAUAAGCAUCUAGUUUCAUGUGCAUUUAAACUUAAGUACUCUACCGCCAUGCUGAAAAUAAGUCUGGUGUGAAUCUAGCAACUCGUUGAGAUUAUUGAAUUUUGGGUUUUUUUUUUUUCUUCCCCCUUUUCUCUCUGUUUUUCCUUUUUAAUACUUUUUAUUAUUAAGUGCUUGGUCUGGUUGGCCAACUGAGCAUAUGGCCUUGGAAAGUUUGUGAAUUUUCGGUUUAGGCAAACUAUUGAUUCUAAAUCUAUUGCCAGUGAAAACAAUUAUGCGAAUUAUGAAAGGGUUUUUGCUUGUUCAUGUGCCAUAACUUCAUUUACUUUUGAAAAGGUUGUGCUUCAGAGUUGAUCUUUUCUCGUGACAUUUUUGUUUCUUUGGACCUAAUGAUUUUAUUUUAUGCAUGGCAUUUUCUUUGUAUGGCGCUAUUGAACACUCAGGGGGAAAAUGACUAUUGAGAUUCAUUUCUACACUUUCCCUUCAUUUGCCUGCAACUUCAUGUGCAUCAGUGACAUUAGUAUGGUCAAAGAAUAUAACUACUUUUUGGUAGCUCUCUAGAGAUUUGAAGACCAGAUAUUUCUUAACUAAGAACUGAUUUGAAGUCAUUUGUUUGACAAUGCUAGUAGUCACCAUCCAAACUCAGAUUUUGGGUUAUAAUUUCCUGAUUUUAUGGAUUGAUUUCAUGUCGUUGAACAUCGUUAGUUGUUAUCAGCUUUUUGUGAUAAAACUGAAAUGGGUGAGUUAACAGUGUACAAUGAGGUUCUUGUCAUAUGCAGCUUUAGUGUGGGGCCUCUAGGUCAUGGCAUGGUGGUUUCCCUUGGUUACGAAUCAUGGAUAGGUUUUGAUUGUCAUGCCGGUACUCUGGUCAAUGUGAAAGGGGCUGCUUCGAAUAUAAGUUGCUGGAGAUUGCAGUAAACGGGCAGAUUCUUCACCUUCUCCUGCCACCCUUAAGCACAGAUUGUGGUUUUGACAAGGAGAAGUGAGAAUUAAGGAAUAUGCCAUUUUUUUAUUCAAAACUUUGCAUUAAUGUUAAAACAUCAUUUCAGAUUCAUAUAAUGAUAUCAGAUCUGAUGAAGGGGAUGCAUCAAUCAUUUUUUUUCCAACUUCCACUUCCUCUUGGUUCAGGUGUUUCGGCCUAAGGUAUUUGAAAGCUCCCCUAAUGUUUGUUAUUUUCCUGACUAUAUAUCAUAACUAUCUAUAGAAGCCAUUCCAAUGUACUUUCGAGAAAACUGCUUUGCAUUUUCAUUAUGGUCCUAAUUGAGUGCUUUGAAUACCUGCGCACUAGAAACUGUUCUGAUGUUGUAAUCAGGGCUGAGAGUAUAGCGAGAAGUAGACGGCUUUUAUCACAUCGUUCUUUUACUAGCAGAAAAGUUUUUAUGUGCAUACUCAAUUACUCAUGCUGUUCUCUACCUGCACACCUCUUGAAUCCAAUCCAUGGAGGUAUUACAAUUCUUUUUCCUGGAAUGAAGAGCCGAGCAUCGGAAAAGUAAACCGUAUGAUAGAAGUUAUCAUCUCUGAAUCUCUUGCAGCAUAUAUGCUUUUGUAUAUUGGAGUAACUGUAACAAAUUGUCUUUCUUUUUCGGACGUUAUUGUAUGAUGCAUGAUGCGGAACAAAGUAGGUCAUUUGUCGUGAUCAAUGGCCUAUAGAUAACAGCUCAUGGAUAAUUAAAUACUAAGCAGAUGUGGUCUGAAGCUUUGAGCAAAAGCCAGUGAAUGUAGACUGGCAUUAUUAUAAUAA
This is an RNA transcript of Neltuma alba, 4154 nucleotides long. It is a transcript of the gene named pentatricopeptide repeat-containing protein At5g18950, with no coding region annotated. Lineage: Eukaryota; Viridiplantae; Streptophyta; Magnoliopsida; Fabales; Fabaceae. The record is from RefSeq and is a predicted model, not a curated record. The transcript has 2 exons.